UGUCCCACCCGGCCACAGCG
Molecule: unclassified non-coding RNA, 20 nt
Filed under: Mus musculus (house mouse)
Lineage: Eukaryota; Metazoa; Chordata; Mammalia; Rodentia; Muridae
Description: oocyte_clustered_small_RNA4556
Source: RNAcentral